CAUGGGGAAGGAUGAGAAGCUUCGACUAAGGUUCGACUCGAGCGAAGCGAGAGAACGUUGCCGCAGGCAACGGCCCGAAGGGCGAGGCGCUUUAGCGCCGAGUAAUCCUUCCCCCACCACCA
This 122-nucleotide small RNA is filed under the name Klebsiella pneumoniae. RNAcentral's name for it is "RtT RNA". It matches the Rfam family "RtT RNA". Rfam says of the family: This family represents a bacterial cis-regulatory element known as RtT RNA. The exact function of RtT is unknown although it is thought that it may be involved in changing the cellular response in relation to amino acid starvation. Lineage: Bacteria; Pseudomonadati; Pseudomonadota; Gammaproteobacteria; Enterobacterales; Enterobacteriaceae. The record is from RNAcentral.